RNAcentral lists this long non-coding RNA (315 nucleotides) under Ovis aries (sheep). Its description in RNAcentral is "lncRNA (ENSOARG00000025994.1)". The record is from RNAcentral. Lineage: Eukaryota; Metazoa; Chordata; Mammalia; Artiodactyla; Bovidae.
AUGCCUCGUAGCCAAAAAAACCAAAACAUAAAACAGAAACAAUUUUGUAACAAAUUCAAUAAAGACUUUAAAAACUGUUCAUAUCAAAGAAUAAAAAACUUUAAAAAAUAUGUGAUUUUUCUUAAAUCUUUUAAAACAGCUCCAGAAGUAUUUAAGAUAAACUUUAUAUUUCCGAAUGGAGACACGUAUGAUGGGGACUGUACAAGAACAUCUUCUGGAGUCAUUGAGAGAAAUGGAAUAGGUAUUCAUACCACUCCUAAUGGGAUUGUCUACACAGGAAGCUGGAAAGAUGACAAGGUAUUAUUAUUGUUUUGA